UACAGAGGUCCCAAGCGUUGUUCGGAUUCACUGGGCGUAAAGGGUGCGUAGGUGGUGGGGUAAGUUUGAUGUGAAAACCUUGGGCUUAACUCAGGGCUUGCUUUCGAUACGGGCAGACUAGAGGUAUGCAGGGGAGAACGGAAUUCCUGGUGUAGCGGUGAAAUGCGCAGAUAUCAGGAGGAACACCGGUGGCGAAGGCGGGUCUCUGGGCAGUAACUGACGCUGAGGAGCGAAAGCGUGGGGAGCGAACAGG
RNAcentral lists this ribosomal RNA (253 nucleotides) under uncultured bacterium. RNAcentral describes it as "partial 16S ribosomal RNA". It matches the Rfam family "Bacterial small subunit ribosomal RNA", at positions 524 to 776 of the family's 1533-position model. The record is from RNAcentral.